RNAcentral lists this ribosomal RNA (329 nucleotides) under uncultured eukaryote. RNAcentral's name for it is "partial 18S ribosomal RNA". It matches the Rfam family "Eukaryotic small subunit ribosomal RNA", at positions 1470 to 1796 of the family's 1831-position model. The record is from RNAcentral.
CCCUUAGAUGUUCUGGGCUGCACGCGCGCUACACUGAUGCACUCAACGAGUUUACAACCUUAUCCGGAAGGAUUGGGUAAUCUUUUGAACGUGCAUCGUGAUGGGGAUAGAUUAUUGCAAUUAUUAAUCUUCAACGAGGAAUUCCUAGUAAGCGCAAGUCAUCAGCUUGCGCUGAUUACGUCCCUGCCCUUUGUACACACCGCCCGUCGCUACUACCGAUUGAACGUUUUAGUGAGGUAUUUGGACUGGACCUUCGGAGGUUCGCGCCUCCGUUGCUGUUCGGGAAGACUCCCAAACUUGAGCGUUUAGAGGAAGUAAAAGUCGUAACA